Molecule: ribosomal RNA, 253 nt
Filed under: uncultured bacterium
Lineage: Bacteria
Description: partial 16S ribosomal RNA
Rfam family: Bacterial small subunit ribosomal RNA
Source: RNAcentral
UACGUAGGGUGCAAGCGUUGCCCGGAUUUAUUGGGCGUAAAGGGCGCGUAGGCGGUCACGCACGUCCGUUGUGAAAGCCCAGGGCUCAACCCUGGAAUUGCCUUCGAUACUGUUUGGCUAGAGACCGGAAGAGGUAAGUGGAACUGCGAGUGUAGAGGUGAAAUUCGUAGAUAUUCGCAAGAACACCAGUGGCGAAGGCGGCUUACUGGUCCGGUUCUGACGCUGAGGCGCGAAAGCGUGGGGAGCAAACAGG